This 465-nucleotide ribosomal RNA is filed under the name Vreelandella stevensii. RNAcentral describes it as "partial 16S ribosomal RNA". It matches the Rfam family "Bacterial small subunit ribosomal RNA", at positions 338 to 795 of the family's 1533-position model. The record is from RNAcentral. Lineage: Bacteria; Pseudomonadati; Pseudomonadota; Gammaproteobacteria; Oceanospirillales; Halomonadaceae.
CCUACGGUGGGCAGCAGUGGGGAAUAUUGGACAAUGGGCGAAAGCCUGAUCCAGCCAUGCCGCGUGUGUGAAGAAGGCCUUCGGGUUGUAAAGCACUUUCAGUGGGGAAGAAAGCCUUGGGGCUAAUACCCUCGAGGAAGGACAUCACCCACAGAAGAAGCACCGGCUAACUCCGUGCCAGCAGCCGCGGUAAUACGGAGGGUGCGAGCGUUAAUCGGAAUUACUGGGCGUAAAGCGCGCGUAGGCGGUCUGAUAAGCCGGUUGUGAAAGCCCCGGGCUCAACCUGGGAACGGCAUCCGGAACUGUCAGGCUAGAGUGCAGGAGAGGAAGGUAGAAUUCCCGGUGUAGCGGUGAAAUGCGUAGAGAUCGGGAGGAAUAACAGUGGCGAAGGCGGCCUUCUGGACUGACACUGACGCUGAGGUGCGAAAGCGUGGGUAGCAAACAGGAUUAGAUACCCUGGUAGUC